ACGGGAGGCAGCAGUGGGGGAUAUUGCACAAUGGGGGAAACCCUGAUGCAGCGACGCCGCGUGAGUGAAGAAGUAUUUCGGUAUGUAAAGCUCUAUCAGCAGGGAAGAAAAUGACGGUACCUGACUAAGAAGCUCCGGCUAAAUACGUGCCAGCAGCCGCGGUAAUACGUAUGGAGCAAGCGUUAUCCGGAUUUACUGGGUGUAAAGGGAGCGUAGACGGCGAGGCAAGUCUGAUGUGAAAGCCAUGGGCUCAACCCAUGAACUGCAUUGGAAACUGUUUUGCUUGAGUGUCGGAGAGGUAAGCGGAAUUCCUAGUGUAGCGGUGAAAUGCGUAGAUAUUAGGAGGAACACCAGUGGCGAAGGCGGCUUGCUGGACGACAACUGACGCUGAGGCGCGAAAGCGUGGGGAGCAAACAGGAUUAGAUACCCUGGUA
RNAcentral lists this ribosomal RNA (434 nucleotides) under uncultured bacterium. Its description in RNAcentral is "partial 16S ribosomal RNA". It matches the Rfam family "Bacterial small subunit ribosomal RNA", at positions 341 to 792 of the family's 1533-position model. The record is from RNAcentral.